UACGUAGGGGGCAAGCGUUGUCCGGAAUUAUUGGGCGUAAAGAGCUCGUAGGCGGUUUGUCGCGUCUGCUGUGAAAACUCGGGGCUUAACCCCGGGCCUGCAGUGGGUACGGGCAGACUAGAGUGCGGUAGGGGAGACUGGAAUUCCUGGUGUAGCGGUGAAAUGCGCAGAUAUCAGGAGGAACACCGGUGGCGAAGGCGGAUCUCUGGGCCAGUAUUGACGCUGAGGAGCGAAAGCGUGGGUAGCAAACAGG
RNAcentral lists this ribosomal RNA (253 nucleotides) under uncultured bacterium. RNAcentral describes it as "partial 16S ribosomal RNA". It matches the Rfam family "Bacterial small subunit ribosomal RNA", at positions 524 to 776 of the family's 1533-position model. The record is from RNAcentral.